CUGCGUACCUCGGGGGGCCAAUCCGGCUGAGAUGCGCACGCGCGCGGACCCGUAGAACCUGAACCGGUUAGAACCGGCGGAGGGAAGGUUGAGCAUAUCAUC
RNAcentral lists this non-coding RNA (102 nucleotides) under Roseobacter denitrificans. RNAcentral describes it as "TPP sequence". It matches the Rfam family "TPP riboswitch aptamer (THI element)". From Rfam's summary of the family: Vitamin B(1) in its active form thiamin pyrophosphate (TPP) is an essential coenzyme that is synthesised by coupling of pyrimidine and thiazole moieties in bacteria. The previously detected thiamin-regulatory element, thi box was extended, resulting in a new, highly conserved RNA secondary structure, the THI element, which is widely distributed in eubacteria and also occurs in some archaea. Lineage: Bacteria; Pseudomonadati; Pseudomonadota; Alphaproteobacteria; Rhodobacterales; Roseobacteraceae. RNAcentral also lists the same sequence under 1 other name. The record is from RNAcentral.